RNAcentral lists this ribosomal RNA (472 nucleotides) under uncultured bacterium. RNAcentral describes it as "bacterial SSU rRNA". It matches the Rfam family "Bacterial small subunit ribosomal RNA", at positions 355 to 825 of the family's 1533-position model. The record is from RNAcentral.
UGGGGAAUUUUGGACAAUGGGGGCAACCCUGAUCCAGCAAUGCCGCGUGAGUGAAGAAGGCCUUCGGGUUGUAAAGCUCUUUUGUCAGGGAAGAAACGGUAGUAGCGAAUAACUACUACUAAUGACGGUACCUGAAGAAUAAGCACCGGCUAACUACGUGCCAGCAGCCGCGGUAAUACGUAGGGUGCAAGCGUUAAUCGGAAUUACUGGGCGUAAAGCGUGCGCAGGCGGUUGUGUAAGUCAGAUGUGAAAUCCCCGGGCUCAACCUGGGAAUUGCAUUUGAGACUGCACGGCUAGAGUGUGUCAGAGGGGGGUAGAAUUCCACGUGUAGCAGUGAAAUGCGUAGAUAUGUGGAGGAAUACCGAUGGCGAAGGCAGCCCCCUGGGAUAACACUGACGCUCAUGCACGAAAGCGUGGGGAGCAAACAGGAUUAGAUACCCACGUAGUCCCUGAGCGGGCUGGCAAGGCGCAU